This 253-nucleotide ribosomal RNA is filed under the name uncultured bacterium. RNAcentral's name for it is "partial 16S ribosomal RNA". It matches the Rfam family "Bacterial small subunit ribosomal RNA", at positions 524 to 776 of the family's 1533-position model. The record is from RNAcentral.
UACGGAGGGUGCGAGCGUUGUUCGGAAUUAUUGGGCGUAAAGCGCGUGUAGGCGGUUUAUUAAGUCUGAUGUGAAAGCCCCGGGCUCAACCUGGGAAGUGCAUUGGAUACUGGUAGACUUGAGUACGGGAGAGGAGAGUGGAAUUCCCAGUGUAGGAGUGAAAUCCGUAGAUAUUGGGAGGAACACCGGUGGCGAAGGCGGCUCUCUGGACCGAUACUGACGCUGAGACGCGAAAGCGUGGGUAGCAAACAGG